RNAcentral lists this ribosomal RNA (254 nucleotides) under uncultured bacterium. RNAcentral's name for it is "partial 16S ribosomal RNA". It matches the Rfam family "Bacterial small subunit ribosomal RNA", at positions 524 to 776 of the family's 1533-position model. The record is from RNAcentral.
UACGAAGGGUGCAAGCGUUAAUCGGAAUUACUGGGCGUAAAGCGUGCGCAGGCGGUUAUUUAAGUCAGGUGUGAAAGCCCUGGGCUUAACCUAGGAAUUGCGCUUGAGACUGGAUAGCUUGGAGUGCGGCAGAGGGAGGUGGAAUUCCACGUGUAGCAGUGAAAUGCGUAGAGAUGUGGAGGAACACCGAUGGCGAAGGCGGCUACCUGGACCAGCACUGACACUGAGGCACGAAAGCGUGGGGAGCAAACAGG